CUAUAUUUUUGCUAUCGUCCAGUUUUUAUUUAUCUUGAACAGGGAUUACCCUGCUUUCUAAUUUUAUCAUAGACUAGUUGUUUAUUUCUACGCUUCUUUCCAUUUCAGGCCGUUUUAGUCCCAUGAAUGUCAAGUUCCUUGAAGAGGUUGCGGCUGGAAAUUGGACUGGAGAUUUUUCUAUAUUUGCACACAAUUCAGGUAUUGCUCUAUUUCUCUUCCUUUUUAAUAGAUAUUUUCUAGAGCUUUGCUAAGUGCACCUGGCAUGUUCAAUGAAGCUCAUUUUCACACCACAAACAUGGCACAUGGCACAUAGCUAGGUGCCAGAUCCAAACCAUCCAUCAGGUUGGUCUGACCCUCUGCAUGUUUUUCCAAAAGUUUAUGCAUGGGAUGGCAGGAAGAUUAACAUUACCUGUAACCAGCUGUAGGUUAAAAUGAUCUAGAGCCAUUCACAACACUCACAAAACAUGAGCAAGAUCUGAUCCAUUAUCAAUGAUGAGAAGGUCGUGGAAUUCAAACAGUCUGAACAGGUCCCCACAAUCGCAUAGUGGUGGGCUUCACCUCUAUGGUUGAGUUUCAAAUCAAGCAUCAGGAACUGAACAAAGAGAACUAGUGAGGGAUGUUACAGGUUUUGGAGAAAAUAGGAGAGCAAACUUGGAAGAUCUAGGCAUUCUUACAGGAAGAGAGGCCCUUGACACAUUCAACACAGCAGUUGUAUCGCCUAUAUACUAUGUGAUGUUUACGUCCUGCGGUCUAUGUGAAGGUAACACCUGAGGACGUUCAUAAGUUCAACUUGCCCCCAGAAUGUGUCAAUAAAACUCCAUCUGGUGAAACUUUUGUUAAACCAAAUUUACAGAAGGGCAUACUUCCAGAAAUUCUCGAAGAAUUAUUGGCUGCUCGUAAAAGGGCUAAAGCAGAUCUUAAGGAAGCAAAGGAUCCAUUUGAGAAGGCUGUACUGAAUGGUUGUCAGCUGGCUCUGAAAAUAAGUAUGAACUCAGUGUAUGGAUUUACUGGAGCUACAGUGGGACAACUACCUUGUUUGGAGAUAUCUUCCAGUGUGACAAGCUAUGGUAAUUAGAAGUUCUUUCCACAUUACCAUCUCCCUCAUCAUACUU
Magnolia sinica is the source of this 1112-nucleotide RNA transcript. It is a transcript of the gene named DNA polymerase delta catalytic subunit-like, with no coding region annotated. Lineage: Eukaryota; Viridiplantae; Streptophyta; Magnoliopsida; Magnoliales; Magnoliaceae. The transcript has 6 exons. The record is from RefSeq and is a predicted model, not a curated record.